ACAAUAUGUAUCUUGACUUACAUUUAAAGACAAAAAAAAAACAGAAAUUUAAGGAUUAAUUUUUGUUCAGAUUACAUAAAUACAAUAUCUUAGAAAAAAAAUUCAAAUUGGACCCAAUUUGCUUACCAUAAGCAACACGACAGAGCAGCUCAUGUAUCUGAAUCUGCUUACCCUUCUAGUGCAAUUUAUACCACCCAAAGUUAUUGG
Molecule: long non-coding RNA, 207 nt
Filed under: Mytilus galloprovincialis (Mediterranean mussel)
Lineage: Eukaryota; Metazoa; Mollusca; Bivalvia; Mytilida; Mytilidae
Source: RNAcentral